RNAcentral lists this ribosomal RNA (260 nucleotides) under uncultured bacterium. RNAcentral describes it as "partial 16S ribosomal RNA". It matches the Rfam family "Bacterial small subunit ribosomal RNA", at positions 524 to 776 of the family's 1533-position model. The record is from RNAcentral.
UACGGAGGGUGCGAGCGUUGUCCGGAUUUAUUGGGUUUAAAGGGUAGCGUAGGUGGCUUUGAUAAGUCAGUGGUGAAAAUACAGCCGCUCAACGGUUGAGGUGCCAUUGAUACUGUAGAGCUUGAAACAAGUGGAGGCUGCCGGAAUGGAUGGUGUAGCGGUGAAAUGCAUAGAUAUCGAUCCAGAACACCGAUUGCGAAGGCAGGUGGCUACGUUUGAUUUGACAGCUGAGGCAACGAAAGGCAUGGGGAGCAAACAGG